This 463-nucleotide ribosomal RNA is filed under the name uncultured bacterium. Its description in RNAcentral is "bacterial SSU rRNA". It matches the Rfam family "Bacterial small subunit ribosomal RNA", at positions 338 to 795 of the family's 1533-position model. The record is from RNAcentral.
CCUACGGGGGGCUGCAGUGGGGAAUAUUGCGCAAUGGGGGGAACCCUGACGCAGCAACGCCGCGUGAGCGAAGAAGGCCUUCGGGUCGUAAAGCUCUGUCGAGAGGGACGAAGUCUAUGAGCUGAAUAAGCGAAUAGGUGACGGUACCUUUUAAGGAAGCCCCGGCUAACUACGUGCCAGCAGCCGCGGUAAUACGUAGGGGGCGAGCGUUGUCCGGAAUUACUGGGCGUAAAGGGCGUGUAGGCGGCUAGGUAAGUCAGGUGUGAAAGGCUACGGCUCAACCGUAGUAAGCCUUGGAAACUUAUUGGCUUGAGUGCAGGAGAGGAGAGCGGAAUUCCUGGUGUAGCGGUGAAAUGCGUAGAUAUCAGGAGGAACACCAGUGGCGAAGGCGGCUCUCUGGACUGUAACUGACGCUGAGGCACGAAAGCGUGGGGAGCAAACAGGAUUAGAUACCCUAGUAGUC